GGCUCAGUGGAAGAGCAUCUGCUUGAAGUGCAGAUAGAAGGUCCCAGGUUCAAUCCCUGGCAUCUCCA
This 68-nucleotide transfer RNA is filed under the name Sphaerodactylus townsendi. RNAcentral describes it as "tRNA-Phe". It matches the Rfam family "tRNA", at positions 9 to 71 of the family's 71-position model. Rfam says of the family: Transfer RNA (tRNA) molecules are approximately 80 nucleotides in length. Their secondary structure includes four short double-helical elements and three loops (D, anti-codon, and T loops). Further hydrogen bonds mediate the characteristic L-shaped molecular structure. tRNAs have two regions of fundamental functional importance: the anti-codon, which is responsible for specific mRNA codon recognition, and the 3' end, to which the tRNAs corresponding amino acid is attached (by aminoacyl-tRNA synthetases). tRNAs cope with the degeneracy of the genetic code in two manners: having more than one tRNA (with a specific anti-codon) for a particular amino acid; and 'wobble' base-pairing, i.e. permitting non-standard base-pairing at the 3rd anti-codon position. The record is from RNAcentral. Lineage: Eukaryota; Metazoa; Chordata; Lepidosauria; Squamata; Sphaerodactylidae.